Molecule: long non-coding RNA, 782 nt
Organism: Erigeron canadensis
Lineage: Eukaryota; Viridiplantae; Streptophyta; Magnoliopsida; Asterales; Asteraceae
Exons: 3
Source: RefSeq, a predicted model, not a curated record
CAAAAGCAAAACUAACCCUAACCAAAUCAAAUUUUCUUUCAAUUACAAACGCAUAAAAAAUUUAAUUCUCACCUGUAUUAAAUUUCGUUUUCAAACUGAUUUUGAUCUUCAACAAGGCUACCGAUUCAAUCGAAAAUAGAAGGGGUUUUUUUAUGUUUUAAUUUAUAGAUAUAGGUUAUAGGUUACUUAUUGAUUUUGUUGUUUUUGAAAUAUUCUCAUAUUAAUUGAUUGUGUUUUCGGAUUAUCAGCCAAUUAUAUCCAAGGUUAAUGACCAGCUAUCUUUUUCUCUCAUGUCAUUCCUCAAGAGGGUGUUGGAAUACAAGCAAUAGUACAAGGUUUAAAGAUUAGCGAUUUUUGGAUCCAAUAAUAGAAUCGGGGAAAUGUUACCAAAUGAGAAUACGUGGAGCACUGCAGCAUCCUCAAUAAUCUCAGGUUGGUAAACCAAAGAAAGUCAAAGUUCAAGCAGCAGCAGCAAAAAAGCCCUCCGAGUUUCUCAGUUUAUGACAACAAAUAUCUUCACAUCAUCUAGCUCCAAGUCUAUAAAAAUCACAAGGGAAGACAUUCACAUGCAAUGCCACAGUUUUAGAAAUCAUCCCCUUUUCUGAAGUAAAUUUUGUACGCUUGAAGAAUAGCUACCCGAUUACCGAUUACCAAACCUUGGAACAAACCGAUGCCGCCCAUCGGGCGGCAUGAACCUCCCUAGUUAUAAAAUGUUAUAGCAAAAUUAAGUUAUAAAACAUCUUUAACAAAAACCAUUUUCCAAUAAUAAUAUCUUGUCAGCA